RNAcentral lists this long non-coding RNA (3299 nucleotides) under Triticum aestivum (bread wheat). RNAcentral's name for it is "long non-coding RNA (TAES_LNC017645)". Lineage: Eukaryota; Viridiplantae; Streptophyta; Magnoliopsida; Poales; Poaceae. The record is from RNAcentral.
AGCACCUCACCAUUCGGCCAGCCUCUCGCCCUCCUCUGCCCUAGCUCUCUCCAUCCUCCUCCGAUACACCCAUAUGGCACCGUUCACGCGCCCAGCCCCACAAACCACCGACUCCCCUAGAGUUACACCCGGAAGCUACGUCCCCCAGAGGGGCCUGGUGCUGAAGCGGGUGCUCAAAAGCCUCCUCUCGUGGCUGCCGCGCCGCCGCCGCCGCCACCGGGCCGGGCGCCCCCGUCACGGCAAGGGCGGCGCCGCGCCGCCGGGCCGUCGUGGCACGUACUAACCAUCAACCACCACCUCUCCUCAAGUGGAGUGUAUCCGUCAAUAUAUUCUGCAGGUACGGGCGUGCGUACCUACAUAGACGCCGUUGUCCGCAAGCCGUUAUUUUACUCAUCACUCUUUUUGGUUGGUUUGGUGCUCGGACAAUUUCUGUUCAUUUUCCGUCCAGUUUUCCUCAAGUUUUCUCGGUCCGUUUCGAUCUUGACGGACCAUGCAUAAACUUUUUCCUGGCGUUGAUAACUUGAUAUACAAAUUCAUUUCAGGUCAGGUCAAGUCGUACACGUCAAGCCCGGGCCGGCGUCACAACCGGCGACGACCGAGACUAGUCAGCGAGUCAAGCUAUCGGGGGUGCUCAGGAUGGUGGCAGAAAACCAAGUGUUGGAUCCGGCCUCCAGUCGUCAGUCAACUUAAUACUAUUGUUUCAUUGGUUAUUAUUUCGUUGCAUAAAAUACUGGAUACAUGUAGAUGGACCACACGCUUACUGACGGCAUCUUGCUGUUCGCGUGGCGCGUGCAUGUGUCUCUACGCUGUAAUAGGUCAUGCUGUUUUUUCAUAUAUUUUUCUUUUAUAUAACUCAUACCUUGUUUUUUCGUUCAUGCAUGAGGGCCCGUAUUUCAUCAUAUUUGCGGUGAAUUCUGGUUAUCCAUGUCGAUGUCAUCUUGUUUUUUGCGAGACACUUGAGCAUGCACAAAUAUGCAAAAUGGAGCCAUCACUAUGACCAUUAACUUCAGUGAAAUGAUCAUGCGUUGCUGAAAUGCCAAAGCUCAACGAACGCAGUCCUCAGAUUACCAUCGACGGACGGUCCAGAUCAUGCACAAACUCUUCUCUUGCAUGUUCACUUCUUGUCCCUCUAAAAAAAGAAGGUGAUUCUUGGCCCUCUAAGAAAUAAGUUCAGUUGGUGUCCUUUCAGGAAGAAAAGGGAAGGAAACAAAUGUGACAUUUAUUGGCAGGGCCUACUACUGGCCCGGUACUGAAGCCUAAUAGGCCGAACCGAUCACAAGAGUUAGAGCACCAAAUGGGAGGCAACAAGGCCCACUUAUUGUGGGUCAUACAGUAAUGUUGUCGCACCUUAAAGCAUUGAUUUUUUUUGCCAAUCAGUGCAAAGUGCUCCUAAUCCCCGCGUAAGGCGAGCGAGGGUGAGCAAACGUGCACCUCGGACAAUCCUAUAUGACGCCCACGUGGGUUAUAUAGUUUUUUAAGAAUCACAUGCGUCGUACAGCAGUUCAAACGGGCCGGCACACGUAACGGCUGUUCUGGUGCGUUUUUCUUGAUUAUUUUUUCCUUUCCUUUUCAUUUCAGAUCUUGAGAUUACUUCUGCUUUUUUGGUUUUUUAUUUUGCAUAUUUUUAUAGCUUUUGCAAUAUAUGGUGAACUUGUUUCCAAUUAUGAUGAAUAUAUUUUCAGUACAAGUACAUGGUGAACAAUUUUAAAAUAGAAAAUUAAUACUUUUUAUAAUAUACGGUGAACAAUUUUUUGAUAUUACUUUGAACAUUUUUCAAAUGUACGAUGGACUUUCAUAAUUAUAUGAUGAACGUUAUUCUAAACUCACUUAAUAUUUUUUAACAUAUGAUGAACCUUUUUUCAACAUGCACUGAAAUUUAGCAUAAAAUACAUACUAAUUUUUUUGUAAAAUAUAUUUCUAAUUUUUAAUAGUUUUUGAAAAUAUCUAGCUCCUAAAAAACAACAUCCAGUUUUAUUCGUGGAAACCCAACAAAAAAACUGAAAAUAAAAUAAAAGCAGGUUACGGGGAAAGUGAGCUGCCCAAUUAUUCUUGGCAUCGGUGAAAGUGGGCUGACGAUACACGGGUCAAAUGGGAAGAAACAAGAGCCAUCAAAAAAUGUUGCCACGCCUCCAAAGCAUUGGCUUGUUUUUAAUCCAUGCAAAUGUACCUAAUCUCCACGUAGGGCGAGUGAGUGCGAGCACACAAGCACCGGGACGCUCGCUUCGGAACCCCUCCAUGCGAGGAAUGGUAAACGGGCCAGCCCAGUGUGCACACACUUCAUGAUUUUUUUUCUUUAAAUAGUUUAUAAAGUCUAUGGGCUGAUUUUUCAUUAAAUACCUUCUAAAUAAAGAAUCUCGAGUUUUAAAAUAUAUUCAUUUUUUUGUGAAUUUAAUAUAUGAUCCUGAAAUUCAAAAUAUGUUCAUGUAUUUUAAAAAUAUUUGUUAUUUCGAAAACAUGUUCGAUUUUUUUAAAUAUUCUCGAAAUUUUAAAACGUUCAUGAAUCUGAAAAAUGUACUCAGAUUUCAAAAAUAAAAUCUGACAUUUUAAAAACUAUUCACGAACUGAAAAAUAAAAAAAUAAAAAAAGAAAAAACUGGUACACACGCACACGCACGUGUGUGCACACACACACACAAAUAAACACACUGGAUCAGGGAUACCCACACCCAUAAGUAAAACAAAACUGGUUCGCGGAGAACCUUCCCAAAACCAGUUUUUUUUUAUUGAGAAAAUCCCCAAACCAGAUAAACACAUGGCGAAAAAAUGCCCAAUUGGGCUGGCCCAUGUAGUGUUGAGGAGUGCGCGUUUGCUCUCUAGCUAACGCAGUGCAAUCUUCUAAAAAAAGAUAACGCCGGGGAAGGGUGCGCGUUUGCCAGGUUGGUGUGUAUGUGACUUGUACUAUGAUCCUUAUAAUAUAAAUGAGAAACGUAUUACCAUAAAAGAAAAUAGGGUGCACGUUUGCUGACUCCCCAUUGUCCUAUGAGCGGACUAGGAGCUCUAUUUUUUGGCGAAACAAAACAUUAGGUAAUUAAACUGUACUCCUACAUACUAAAAAAGUAAGUAAUCUGUACGACCUGAAUCAUAACAUGUUUUGCGAGUUCUCACAAAAGAUUUGAAUUUUUUUUUGCACAUUUAAGAAGACAAAAACCCCUAUAUUACAUUAUUAUUUCCUUAUUCCAAGCAGAAGGGCUCCGGGAGACAAAUUAUACAUGUGGUUAUUACUACACGCACACAACAUAACUCGCAAACGUGGAUACAUGGCAGCAUGCAGCAUCGGCAUGCAUUGGGAGCAAACUGAGA